GAAAAAGAAUGCAAGAACUGCUAAUUCAUGCCUCCAUGCUCAAAAACAUGGCUUUUUCA
Molecule: transfer RNA, 59 nt
Filed under: Cynogale bennetti (Otter civet)
Lineage: Eukaryota; Metazoa; Chordata; Mammalia; Carnivora; Viverridae
Description: tRNA-Ser
Source: RNAcentral